UGGCGGCGGCUGGCUUCGUGUCCUUAGUGUCCUCAGUAUUUGCUUGAAAAAGAAUCCUGCUGCGAUUCGAAAUGCGUUGGAGUAUAAGAAGAACAAAGCAAAUACUGAGGAAACUAAGGACACGAAGCCAGCCGCCGCCAGCGCCCGAAUACCGGAAGUAAACAUCUCAACUUCCGGUUUGACGAACGGAGCAGCGGCUACAGUGCGGCUAAGAGGAGGAGAUCGUGAGUUACAGCACUUGAACGCUGUCAGAGAUCCCAAAAGCCUCCAGCCGCAUUUGCACAGCAAAAUAGGCAUCUUACACACAAUGUGCUACUGUAUGGCUGAAGUGGAUAUACAUAUAUUUACAGGAUGUGGACAAGGCCAUUUCUGUAGGAUUACAUUUCAUGUUUUACUGACUUCGUUUGAUACUCACAAUCAAGAUGAGGGGAGUGUGGUUCACGUCUUGGAGGUGUGUCCAAAAUUUGGAGUGGGGCUCGAUAAUCUUCGUGGCGGGGUAGCCUGCUGUGGUUGGCCCUGGACAUCAGACCUUGCUUUCUUUGCUGCCACAUGUUUUUUUUUGGUGGUGUGUUACAGAAGUCCGACUUCUGCUGCUCCAGACUUCUUUUGAUGGACCUAGUAUUGAAAGUUAAAUGUUGUUAUGGCCAUUCCUUUACAAACAUACCCUAUACUACAAUGGACACUUUACCUGCUUCCGCAGCGUCAUCAUCAUCAGAUGUCAUGGGAGUUACUGUAGGACGAGCAGUACUGCUUUUUUCCAACACUGUAAAACCAAAAUAAAAAAAUCAUGUAUUCAUGCUAUUGUGGAUACAUCCACCCAUUAUGCUUAUAAACAUUAAUUCUGUAAAAAA
Pseudophryne corroboree (corroboree frog) is the source of this 851-nucleotide long non-coding RNA. RefSeq lists it as uncharacterized. The record is from RefSeq and is a predicted model, not a curated record. The transcript is spliced from 3 exons. Lineage: Eukaryota; Metazoa; Chordata; Amphibia; Anura; Myobatrachidae.